GUGUCAGCAGCCGCGGUAAUACGUAGGGGGCAAGCGUUGUCCGGAUUUAUUGGGCGUAAAGAGCGUGUAGGCGGCUUGGCAAGUCCGCUGUGAAAACUCGAGGCUCAACCUCGAGACGUCGGUGGAAACUGCCUCGCUAGAGUCCGGAAGAGGAGAGUGGAAUUCCUGGUGUAGCGGUGAAAUGCGCAGAUAUCAGGAAGAACACCCGUGGCUAAGGCGGCUCUCUAGUACGGUACUGACGCUGAGACGCGAAAGCGUGGGGAGCGAACAGGAUUAGAUACCCUUGUAGUCC
Molecule: ribosomal RNA, 292 nt
Filed under: uncultured bacterium
Lineage: Bacteria
Description: partial 16S ribosomal RNA
Rfam family: Bacterial small subunit ribosomal RNA
Source: RNAcentral